Molecule: non-coding RNA, 458 nt
Organism: Peromyscus maniculatus bairdii (prairie deer mouse)
Lineage: Eukaryota; Metazoa; Chordata; Mammalia; Rodentia; Cricetidae
Source: RefSeq, a predicted model, not a curated record
UGGAGAUGUGUUGCCUAGCAACCGGCUGUUGGACUCCAAACAGCCACGCACACAGUGGUCCGCAGGCACUUGGAGACACCGGGGACAAUAUUUGAGUAUCUCCAAUGAGCUUGCUAGGACCAGCAUAUUAUUACUUGGAAGAGGUAGUUCCUGGAAUUCAUGUUAGAGUCACAUCUCAGGUAGUACCUGUUGGCUCCCUGUGAGGCAGAGGAGAGAUACAUCUCUGCAUAAUGACACGCAGGUCCAGACACCUAGAACAACAUGGCCAGGGACACCCAGGGCCAGUGUUCUCCAAAUCAGGGUGUGUGCGCUGCAGGAAUUGAGCUUUCAACUUUGUAGUCCAGCCCACUGCCAACAUGGCUCGAAGCCCUUUGCUCAUCUAACUCCUCCGUACCUCUUUAACUCACUCUGCUGCAUGGCAGAUUAGACGAUGGAUUAGCUCAUGAACUUUCCAUUGC